UUGCUUUGGUAGCAAAUGUAAAAAUGAAAGAUAUAGAGAAUAUGAGGAUGGUUCCUUCCCAAGAUGAAACACACAUUUGUGAAGAAUUCUAUAUUUUA
Small nuclear RNA from Sarcophilus harrisii (Tasmanian devil), 98 nucleotides. The record is from Ensembl. NCBI's taxonomy places the organism in Eukaryota, Metazoa, Chordata, Mammalia, Dasyuromorphia, Dasyuridae.